AUGUGGGUGACCUGACUAACCCUUUGUUUUUUGUUGUUGUUUUUUUUUUUCAGAUAAGCGGACACAAUGUACCCCAGACCGAGACCAGUUGAAGCAGCCUGGGAAGAAGAUGGGGCCCAAUUGGUCUCGAGGGGUAGCGGCUCAGCAGGGAGACGAGCGAGGCGAUACACAACCCUUUGCCCGUCUGCUGAAGGUGCCGAAGGUCCAUCCUAUAAGAGAUCAAGCUGAAGGAACUGAGAUAGGCAG
Molecule: long non-coding RNA, 246 nt
Organism: Corapipo altera (White-ruffed manakin)
Lineage: Eukaryota; Metazoa; Chordata; Aves; Passeriformes; Pipridae
Exons: 3
Source: RefSeq, a predicted model, not a curated record